RNAcentral lists this unclassified non-coding RNA (264 nucleotides) under Hevea brasiliensis (rubber tree). The record is from RNAcentral. Lineage: Eukaryota; Viridiplantae; Streptophyta; Magnoliopsida; Malpighiales; Euphorbiaceae.
UGAUCUUUAUGUAUGCCCUCAUAGUGACAGCAUAAUCACAGUACUUGCAAAACAUGGGUUCUUCAAGGGCAUGACUGCUGUUGAAGAUAACCGAGACUCCUUGAUUGGCUGUGUUGUGUGGAGAAGAAAUCGAACAUCUGCUAAUUCUGUUGUAAAGAAAUCGGAGAGAAAGAAACAUUCCCUGGCUGAACAGCCUCUCAAUUCCGCUGCUGACUCUUCUAGCCAAAGGGUAGAUGAAAAAGACUUUCCCCUGAUAAAACCGGC